CGCUGGCGGCGUGCCUAAUACAUGCAAGUCGAACGGUCUUUCUAUGGAAGCUUGCUUCCACUGAGAAGAUAGUGGCGAACGGGUGAGUAACACGUGGGUAACCUGCCCAUAAGAGGGGGAUAACAUCCGGAAACGGGUGCUAAUACCGCAUAGUUUUCUUGAUCGCAUGAUUGAGAAAGGAAAGACGGCCUUUGUGCUGUCGCUUAUGGAUGGACCCGCGGCGUAUUAGUUAGUUGGUGAGGUAACGGCUUACCAAGACGAUGAUACGUAGCCGACCUGAGAGGGUGAUCGGCCACAUUGGGACUGAGACACGGCCCAAACUCCUACGGGAGGCAGCAGUAGGGAAUCUUCCGCAAUGGACGAAAGUCUGACGGAGCAACGCCGCGUGAGUGAAGAAGGUUUUCGGAAUCGUAAAACUCUGUUGUCAGAGAAGAACAAGUUGGAGAGUAACUGCUCCAGCCUUGACGGUAUCUGACCAGAAAGCCACGGCUAACUACGUGCCAGCAGCUGC
This 511-nucleotide ribosomal RNA is filed under the name uncultured bacterium. RNAcentral describes it as "bacterial SSU rRNA". It matches the Rfam family "Bacterial small subunit ribosomal RNA", at positions 34 to 518 of the family's 1533-position model. The record is from RNAcentral.